This 226-nucleotide non-coding RNA is filed under the name Ureibacillus massiliensis. Its description in RNAcentral is "Lysinibacillus massiliensis T-box sequence". It matches the Rfam family "T-box leader". From Rfam's summary of the family: Uncharged tRNA acts as the effector for transcription antitermination of genes in the T-box leader family. T-boxes are found upstream of many aminoacyl-tRNA synthetase genes and some amino acid biosynthetic genes usually in Gram-positive bacteria. Lineage: Bacteria; Bacillati; Bacillota; Bacilli; Caryophanales; Caryophanaceae. The record is from RNAcentral.
UUAAAAGCGUUGAGAAGGAGAAGUACGUAAAAUAUGUUUCAAAGAGAGGGUCAUCAUCGGCUGAAAGUGACCUAAACCUCUAUUUUACAGAAAUGCACCUUUGAGCACUUUGCCGAAGCAUUAGUAGGCAGGUCGGGUAGUUCUCGUUAUUGGACUUAUGAGAGGAAGGCAUAUACUGCUUUCAAUCAGAGUGGAACCGCGCAAUUUGUGUAUAGGCGUCUCUGUC